AAGGGGGAAAGGGAUUGCCUCAGUAGCGGCGAGUGAAGCGGCAAGAGCUCAGAUUUGAAAUCGUGCUUUGCGGCACGAGUUGUAGAUUGCAGGUUGGAGUCUGUGUGGAAGGCGGUGUCCAAGUCCCUUGGAACAGGGCGCCCAGGAGGGUGAGAGCCCCGUGGGAUGCCGGCGGAAGCAGUGAGGCCCUUCUGACGAGUCGAGUUGUUUGGGAAU
This 216-nucleotide ribosomal RNA is filed under the name Pichia kudriavzevii. Its description in RNAcentral is "partial 26S ribosomal RNA". It matches the Rfam family "Eukaryotic large subunit ribosomal RNA", at positions 56 to 281 of the family's 3401-position model. Lineage: Eukaryota; Fungi; Ascomycota; Pichiomycetes; Pichiales; Pichiaceae. The record is from RNAcentral.